UACGGAGGGUGCAAGCGUUGCUCGGAAUCAUUGGGCGUAAAGGGCGCGUAGGCGGGCGCGUAAGUCGAUUGUGAAAGCCCUGGGCUUAACCCGGGAACUGCAGUCGAUACUGCGUGUCUUGAGUGCUUGAGAGGGUACUGGAAUUCCUGGUGUAGAAGUGAAAUUCGUAGAUAUCAGGAGGAACACCGGAGGCGAAGGCGGGUACCUGGCGAGCUACUGACGCUGAGGCGCGAAAGUGCGGGGAGCAAACAGGAUUAGAUACCCUGGUAGUCCGCACCGUAAACGAUGGACACUAGAUGUUCGGGGAGUUAACCCCCUGAGUAUCAAAGCUAACGCAUUAAGUGUCCCGCCUGGGGAGUACGGCCGCAAGGUUGAA
RNAcentral lists this ribosomal RNA (376 nucleotides) under uncultured bacterium. RNAcentral's name for it is "bacterial SSU rRNA". It matches the Rfam family "Bacterial small subunit ribosomal RNA", at positions 524 to 898 of the family's 1533-position model. The record is from RNAcentral.